RNA transcript from Lolium perenne, 1812 nucleotides. It is a transcript of the gene named myosin-binding protein 7, with no coding region annotated. The record is from RefSeq and is a predicted model, not a curated record. Lineage: Eukaryota; Viridiplantae; Streptophyta; Magnoliopsida; Poales; Poaceae.
CAUAAAGAAACCCAUCCCGCUUCCGCGCCCCAUUUCCACCUCUCCCGCGCGCGCGCCCUCUCCGCGCUGCGGAUGCACGCCAUGGCCGACGCCGGCGAACCCCCUCCCAGUUUGUGCCCCCUGUGCGGCCACCCCGCCACCACCCCCUCUUCCUCGGCCUCUUUGUCGCCGCCAGUGGCGGCCACGAGGCCGCCGAUGAAGAGGAAUUCGCCGCCUGAGGCGCCGGCCGCCGUGGUGCGGGUGGAGAUAGGGGACGAGGCGGUGGCGCUUCGCGAGGCGCUGGCGCGGCAGCAGGUGGCUCUGGGGGAACUGCAGGCCGAGCUGGACGCGGAGCGCGGCGCGGCGGCCGGCGCCGCCAGCGAGGCCAUGACCAUGAUCCUUCGCCUGCAGCGGGAGAAGGCCGAGGCCAUGAUGGAGGCGCGCCAGUUCCGGCGCUACGCAGAGGAGAAGAUGUCGCACGACGCCGCGGAGCUCGCCGCGCUCGAGGAGGCCAUGGCCAAGCGCGACGCCUCGAUCCCGAUGCGCGCCGUCCAGUCCCAGUCGCGCCUCGCCACGUCGUCGAUACCUUCCUCAUCACCGCGCGUCUCCUCCACGCCGCGCCACCCGUCCACGCCGUCGACGGUAACCGGCGCCGGCGGCUACUACCCGCCGCUGCGGUGCUUCAGCGACCGCUUCAACGAUCACCCGCCGACCGCGUCGGAGGCGGACGUGCUCGACGUGCAGACCCCGCGCGACCACCUCGCCCGCCUCUCCCACCGCGUCCAGAUGCUCGAGCGCCGCGCGCCGCCCACGGCCACCACCACGCCCAUCAUCCGCGUUGCGCCGGGCUCCGCGUUCCCCCGCAAUUCGCGCGUAUUCUCCGACACCGACAGCAUAGACUUCUGCGACGGCGAGUUUUUCCCGGACGACGACUGCGGCGCCAGCGACCGGGUGUACACCGUGGACGCUAUCCACGGCCGAGGCGUUCCCUUGGCCGUGCCCGAGGGCUCCUACUGCGGCGGCACGCCGGUCGGGAGCGACUGCUGCGGCGGCGGGUCGUGGGCGGAGGACGAGGAGAUGCGUCGGCUCACAGCGCGCCUCCAGGCGUUAGAAGCUGACCGGGAGACCAUGCGCCAGGCACUCAUUUCCAUGGGUGCCGAGAAGGCGCAGGUGGUGCUGCUCAAGGAGAUCGCGCAGCAGCUCUGCAAGGACGCCCCGCCACCUCUGCCGGCCGUCACCGUGGGGCAUCAUUACUACAAGGGGGCAGCGCCACCGCCCAUGACCGUCACCGUGCCACGGCCGCAGCGACCCAUGGUUAUGCACAGGAUGGUUGUCAAGAGCCAGCCGCUCACGAGGACCUCAUUCUUCGCCACAGUGGCCAAGUGGGUCGCAUCGAUCGUCUGGUGGCGAAGGAAAUCAUCUCGUAUCAAGUAUCCUAUUGGCCAGUGCGGUAACAAUGUCGGGCUGAUGCUGCUGCUUGACAAGUCCUCGAAGGCUCCAGGGCACGGGCAUCAGAGACCUCCCAAAAGGAUUUAGAUGUCAUCAGUCUUGAGCAUAUAUACGGCUGAUUUGUUUGUGAAAAACAAGGUGGCUUUCGCAUUGUUGUCUCUUCCAGCCCUUACUCUUGGCGCGCGCUCUCGCUCAUCAUGCAUGUCCGGGUACGAUAACCGGUGGAGCAGUGUACAUGCUCCUCAAGAAUGGAAGGUACCGCAAAAUCACCAGUUGGAAACAGCAAAACAGGGAUAGCUUCAAAUUUAGCAUGUGGUACGAUAAAUGCGACAAAUCAAGUUUAAAGCAUCACAUUGUUAAGGAAAUGGCAAGGUUUUGACUGUU